UUUGGCCUAAUGCCUUUCACCACAAUGGGAACAAAACAAUUUAUUUUUGGCAAUACCAUGGAGGACCUUGACAAGGAUUAUGAAUAUGACACAUACGAUACCCGCAAUUUCGUUGACACAGAAGACAAUCGGGAACCUCUUGGCACCUAGGUAUUUGUUCGUUUAUGUUUUUCUUGUAGUCCGUCUCUCGGAAUAAAUUUUGUUGCCACAAUUGUUUUAGAAGUGGUUUUUGAAUACACUUGAUAUUUUGUUGCUAAAAAUCGUUCCAGUCAAGAUUGUUUCCCCGAGUUUAGCUAUCUUAUUGGCUUUGUACCCCUGUUAUGUUAGUGUUAGGUGACAAGAACACACCUAUAAUAUUAACUGAUUAGGUUAAAAACUGUUAUUCUCUUGAGAGCAGCUUGAUCCUUGUAAGAAGUUUGAUUAUUAUCAAGCAUCGUAUAAUUGGGAACGAGUUUUAUGCUAAUGAAGUGGGUUUACCCAUUGCAUUGGCCAGUGACGGUAUUCUUCAGAGGCAACUUUCUAUUUCUAUUUCUGCAACGAAAGGCAUUGCCAAAUUAUUUCUAUUUCUAUUCUGAUUUUCUAGUGUUGAAGAUUUUUCCAUCCCAGUAUUCGUUUGAAUCAUUUAAUUAUCAUUCAACCAUCUUUCUUUUGUCAUUUAAUCUGCAUCAUUCGUUAGUUUACAUAAUAAAAGCCAUCCUCCGAACAUUUUUGAAAUGGUGAUGAUUUAAAUCCACAUAAAUAACCCGAGAGUUUAAUCCUAGUAACAAUGUAAACCCUAAAAUUAUAAAUUUACAAUUUAAACCCUAGAUUUUUCUGUUGGUUAAAACAUUGACAUUCUAUUUACAUCCGUUAAUUAUCCCUAACGGAAUAGGGACAUUUUUGUAAU
RNAcentral lists this long non-coding RNA (886 nucleotides) under Actinidia chinensis (golden kiwifruit). RNAcentral's name for it is "long non-coding RNA (ACHI_LNC006160)". Lineage: Eukaryota; Viridiplantae; Streptophyta; Magnoliopsida; Ericales; Actinidiaceae. The record is from RNAcentral.